AAUUUCAUAAACAACUAUCAACCCUCACACACCAUUGAAUAAUUCUAUAACAAUAUAGAAAAUAUUAUGCUAGAACUAGUAACAAGAAUUUAAUAUUCUCCAAAAUGCAAGUAUUAACCAAAAUGGAUUCUCCAUUGGUAAUUAACGAAAAUGAGCCCGAUACAGUAACCACCAAGAAAACCCUGUAUAAAUUAUUCGUCAACCUAACACUAGAGCAUUCCCGGAAAGAUUUAAAGAAAAAGAAGGAAUUCGGCAAAUCAUGACCUCGCCUGUUUACCAAAAACAUCGCCUCUUGACUAACAAUAAGAGGUCCAGCCUGCCCAGUGAUAAAAUUCAACGGCCACAGUACCCUAACUGUGCGAAGGUAGCAUAAUCACUUGUUCUUUAAAUAAGGACUUGUAUCAACGGCAUCACGAAGGUCAUACUGUCUCCCUUUUCUAAUCAGUGAAACUGAUCUCCCCGUGAAGAAGCGGGAAUAAAACUAUAAGACGAGAAGACCCCAUGGAGCUUUAAACCCUUCAGCAACUCAACUACACACUCCUUCAUAAUCUUAGAGCAAUGCCCAAAGGUUUUAGGCUGGGGUGGCCGCGGAGUAAAAAUCAACCUCCACGACGAAAAGAACUAAAUCUUUAUCCUAGAGUUACUACUCUAAGAAUUAGAAUACUAACGUACAAUGACCCAAUAAAUGAUCAACGAACCAAGUUACCCUGGGGAUAACAGCGCAAUCUACUUUCAAGAGCCCAUAUCGACAAGUAGGCUUACGACCUCGAUGUUGGAUCAGGUAUCCUAGUGGUGCAGCCGCUACUAAUGGUUC
RNAcentral lists this ribosomal RNA (814 nucleotides) under Philautus macroscelis. RNAcentral describes it as "partial 16S ribosomal RNA". It matches the Rfam family "Bacterial large subunit ribosomal RNA", at positions 1531 to 2574 of the family's 2925-position model. Lineage: Eukaryota; Metazoa; Chordata; Amphibia; Anura; Rhacophoridae. The record is from RNAcentral.